GAAAGUGCAGUUUGGACAAUCCUAGUUUGAGAUGUAUCAAAAGUUGGCUUGAUACUGAUAAAGCUAGUGAUCUCAAGUCGAAGAAGUUACAUAUCUAAGUAUGAUUGCAGGCUAAUGGAUCACGAAUUUGCAUAUGGUUCAGGUCAGUAAGAUAACGAAGUGAAGAUAAACUACUCAUAUUGUUUUUUCCGCUACAAUGGAGUAAAGAUUU
This 211-nucleotide long non-coding RNA is filed under the name Vigna radiata. Its description in RNAcentral is "long non-coding RNA (VRAD_LNC015624)". The record is from RNAcentral. Lineage: Eukaryota; Viridiplantae; Streptophyta; Magnoliopsida; Fabales; Fabaceae.